Podarcis lilfordi (Lilford's wall lizard) is the source of this 625-nucleotide non-coding RNA. The record is from the annotation of a GenBank genome assembly. NCBI's taxonomy places the organism in Eukaryota, Metazoa, Chordata, Lepidosauria, Squamata, Lacertidae.
GGGAGUUGAAGCCUGAUGACAUCCAGGGGGCCAGAAGGUUUCCCCAUUCCUUGUUGUUGUUUAGUCGUUUAGUUGUGUCCGUCUCUUCAUGACCCCAUGGACCAGAGCAUGCCAGGCACUCCUGUCUUCCACCGCCUCAAACUAAUGCUGGUAGCUUUGGUCAAACUAAUGCUGGUAGCUUCGAGAACACUGUCCAACCAUCUUGUCCUCUGCCGUCCCCUUCUCCUGGUGCCCUCAAUCUUUCCCAACAUCAGGGUCUCUUUGAGGGAGUCUUCUCUUCUCAUGAGGUGGCCAAAGUAUUGGAGCCUCAGCUUCACGAUCUGUCCUUCCAGUGAGCACUCAGGGCUGAUUUCCUUAAGAAUGGAUAGGUUUGAUCUUCUUGCAGUCCAUGGGACUCUCAUGAGUCUCAUUCCUUAUUAUAGCAUAAUUGUCCAUGUUGCAUUGGUAAUGAAAAUCAAGCAGCAGGCCCCUACACCACAAUAUCCACAGGGCUGGAUAACCCAUGGUCCUUGACCUAAUUUCAUGCAGGUGAGUGUGGAGAGAAGGAAGGUAGAUGGAAGGAGGUGGGCCAGCUGUUCUCUCCAUCCCACCUCAGCAGUCAGCAGAGCAGGAGAAGAAGAGAGCA